This 77-nucleotide transfer RNA is filed under the name Tissierella creatinini. Its description in RNAcentral is "tRNA-Ile". It matches the Rfam family "tRNA". Rfam says of the family: Transfer RNA (tRNA) molecules are approximately 80 nucleotides in length. Their secondary structure includes four short double-helical elements and three loops (D, anti-codon, and T loops). Lineage: Bacteria; Bacillati; Bacillota; Tissierellia; Tissierellales; Tissierellaceae. The record is from RNAcentral.
GGGCCUGUAGCUCAGGUGGUUAGAGCGCACGCCUGAUAAGCGUGAGGUCGAUGGUUCGAGUCCAUCUAGGCCCACCA